Molecule: long non-coding RNA, 3305 nt
Organism: Acipenser ruthenus (sterlet)
Lineage: Eukaryota; Metazoa; Chordata; Actinopteri; Acipenseriformes; Acipenseridae
Exons: 3
Source: RefSeq, a predicted model, not a curated record
GAAAUAACAAUGGAGAAAGCCAGUGCGUCUAUCCUGAGUUUAUCUAGAUUGCUUUCACAAGUUGAGGCAACCGGCGCUGCACUUCUCAUGUAAUGAAAUACAGAUAUCAUGAGUGACGAACUUAUAUCAUUCCUGCGUUCUCGCAAAGUGCCGGAGUUUGUCCUGGAGCGAUUGAGAAAAGACAAGGUUGAUGCUGAAACUAUCCUGGGAAUUGACGACCCAACACUGGCUAAAUACAUUGAAAAGUCAGGUGACAGAGUUGCACUGAGGAAUUUCUGUGCUUCAUCUCAGCAGUCUUUAAAGAAGAAAAACACCAGGCCUACACAGCUUUUUGAAGUCUUAAAGAGGAGGAGGCUAUGUGGGUCCAGUGGUUAAAGAAAAGGGCUUGUAACCAGGAGGUCCCCAGUUCAAACCCCACCUCAACCACUGACUCAUUGUGUGACCCUGAGCAAGUCACUUAACCUCCUUGUGCUCCGUCUUUCGGGUGAGACGUAGUUGUAAGUGACUCUGCAGCUGAUGCGUAGUUCACACACCCUAGUCUCUGUAAGUUGCCUUAGAUAAAGGUGUCUGCUAAAUAAACAAAUAAUAAUAAUAAAGAGUAAACUAGCCAGAACUGACAAUGCUUCAGAAAACUAACCAUCUACCAGUACGGAUGAACAAUUUGAAUACAAAGGUAUGGGUAAAGCAGAGUGAAAACCUACUCGACGAGUUGAAUUCAGAUGGAUCCACAACAAAAAAACAAGUCAGAAAACGUCAGGGAGGUAGGACCUGUAAGAUUGAUGUAUUACGGUAUGCUAAAAAAAUGAAUUACUUGCAGUCGGAAAAGACAUAUUUUUUCCAAAUGGACAGUCUACAAAGGGUCAUAUGACAACCAGGGGACAGAAUUUCAAAACACUGGGGCAUCCACUGGUAGGGGAAACCCAGUGGCUUCAACAUCAGCACACAGCGAUGACAGUGUUGUUUGUACCACUGAAAGUACGCUCACCUCAACACCUUCACGGAGUGAUGAGGGCGCUGCAUGCAGAGUUUCAACUGAGCAUCAUCAACCCUCAGUGUCAACACAGAGUGAUGUCCUUAGCAGUGCUAUUAAAGCAGUCGGUAAUUUCAGCGAUGACGUUUUUUUACUGGAUGACCUAAGUGAUUCUGAAAUCAGUUAAAUCUGGGGAUGACUUCUAACAGCACAGUGACUUGGAUGAUACCAUUCCUGUCACACCAUUUGAAAUGACCAUUCAUUGUGGCCCAAUGGCUUUCACUGAGAUUUGUAGUAACUUCAAGGAUCCCACCAUCUUAAACAAACAUAAACAUUGUGCACAUUUUGCCAAAUGGUUACAUUGAAAAAGCACAUGAUUUGGGGGGUGUAUUAAAAGAUACACUGACUGAAUUCUCGGAGGAUUUCUAUAGCAAAUUGGGAGAGACAUAAAGGUUCCAUGUCUCCGUCAUAACAUAGGCCGAGAAGAAUGGAAAGCCAUAGGUAGAGUGCUUGUUUUUAGCUGGAAAGCCAUGGGGUACUGGCCAAUAAAGUUAUCAAAAACAUUUAUUCAUCACUGCCUCUUCCCAGAACUUGCGAUUUCCAAUGAGCAGCUACUUCAUGACUUCUAUGCUUUCAUUGCCGUUCAGGAUAAAGACAUCUUUCAAAGCGCACUUGUAGACUUUUCCAGUGUCGACUAUGAAGAUAUGAUUGAAGCGCUGGGCACACACGACUGCCGGACUAAGGUCAAGGAGAGUAAUAUUCUAGCAGUACUGCUAGAAAUCGCAGACAAGGAAAUGGUCCAAACAUCAACGUUUGUUUCCGAUUUGCUGGAAGAUCAUUCUGUAAGAACUCUGUAUUGCAAAUGAGAGGCUGGAUGGCAUUUACAGUAAGCUAAUUCCAUCUAACAAAGGAGUUCUCCGUAGGUUACUGUUGCCUGACUCUGUCAUGAGCAUGGGAACGAGGUGUGCGAAAAGUUAUGUGAAAGAGUAACCGAAAGUUAUGCCUCUUCCUUCGCAACUGCUGCACUGGCUCCAAUUUACUGAACGUUGACAAAAUCGCAGUAGAGUUGGUACCAAUGACGGACUUUGAACAAAGUGCACACACCUGUGGAAUUCAGAAGUGAAUUUGACAAAGUAUUAGAGAGCAAUAUUGGACCUGAUAGGAAUUGGACCUGAUAGGAAUAAUUGCAAUGUCGGACCAGGUCCGACAUAGGACCGCAAAGGGUUAAAAGUCCUACAUAGAUUAACCCUCUGUGGUCCUAUGUUGAACCUGGUCUGACAUUGCAAUUUUCCCUUUCCGGUCCAAUGUCAGACCCUGUCCGACAUCAUUAAAAAGACGUAAAAAAACAGGUAUCUCGUCGUUUUUUCUUUUACUUUAAUUUUUUUUUACUUUAUUUUUUGGGGGGGGGUCUCUUCUGCUCUAAUAUCUCAGGGGCAAAUAUACUUAAAUCAUUUAUAAAUAAAUAACACAUUAACCCUUUACCUGGUCCGACAUUGCAAUUUUCUUUUUCCGGUCCAAUGUCGGACAUCAUCAAAAAGACAUAAAAAACAGGUCUCUAGUCGUUUUUUCUCUGGAAAAAGCCGAGAAAACCAUUCAAUGACCGAGUGAGACUGAUAGGAGCCGAGAGAAGCUGAAAAAAAAGGGUCAUAUCUCAUGAAUACAGAUAGCCCUGGCGCCACAUAGAUAACACAGAAAUAAACAAACAAGAUAGCUGCUUCUGCAUCCAGCGCUCAAAGAAUAUCACAGACAUUUGCAGAGCUUAUAGAUGUUAUAUUAAUAAAAUAAUAACUUAGAUCACAUUAUUGAGGAGUUUGGUGAUAAAACGAGUGAUCAGGAGAUGAUUUAUCGGUAUGUACUAUUAUUAAGACGUAUGUGAAAAAUACAGCGAACAAGGGGUGGGGUGGGGCUGGAGAUGCAGUACUGAGUGUCCUGUUGAUAUGCAGUGCCUUUUAAACCUGUUUUACUGUGAAAAAAAAUAAGAACAUAAGAACAUAAGAAAGUUUACAAACGAGAGGUGGCCAUUCAGCCCAUCUUGCUCGUUUGGUUGUUAGUAGCUUAUUGAUCCCAGUAUCUCAUCAAGCAGCUUCUUGAAGGAUCCCAGGGUGUCAGCUUCAACAACAUUACUGGGGAGCUUCAACAACAUUAAACAGCGCAUGGGAAAAUAGAUUGGACCUGAAGCACCUAAAAUGGACCGCAAAGGGUUAAAAGUCUAAAAGUUUUUUAUUUUUUAUUUUUUAUUGGCACUAGAACGCUUCCGUAGUAUUGCACAUCAAAUCGGUUGGUGUGUUACAAUGCCUCUAACUAAACAACUGUUAUAGGUAGAAACACAUCCAAU